UACAGAGGGUGCGAGCGUUAAUCGGAAUUACUGGGCGUAAAGCGUGCGUAGACGGUUUCGUAAGUCGGGUGUGAAAUCCCCGGGCUCAACCUGGGAAUUGCAUUCGAAACUGCGAGGCUAGGGUACGGAAGAGGGAAGCGGAAUUUCUGGUGUAGCGGUGAAAUGCGUAGAUAUCAGAAGGAACAUCAGUGGCGAAAGAGGCUUCCGGGUCCAGUACCGACGUUCAGGCACGAAAGCGUGGGGAGCAAACAGG
Molecule: ribosomal RNA, 253 nt
Filed under: uncultured bacterium
Lineage: Bacteria
Description: partial 16S ribosomal RNA
Rfam family: Bacterial small subunit ribosomal RNA
Source: RNAcentral